RNAcentral lists this ribosomal RNA (454 nucleotides) under uncultured Glomus. RNAcentral's name for it is "SSU rRNA". It matches the Rfam family "Eukaryotic small subunit ribosomal RNA", at positions 569 to 1017 of the family's 1831-position model. Lineage: Eukaryota; Fungi; Glomeromycota; Glomeromycetes; Glomerales; Glomeraceae. The record is from RNAcentral.
AGCAGCCGCGGUAAUUCCAGCUCCAAUAGCGUAUAUUAAAGUUGUUGCAGUUAAAAAGCUCGUAGUUGAAUUUCGGGAUUAGUACGCUGGUCAUGCCUUUGGUAUGUACUGGUGUUACUGGUUCCUACCUUCUGAAGAACCGUUAUGUCAUUAAUUUGGUGUGGCGGGGAAUCAGGACUGUUACUUUGAAAAAAUUGAGUGUUUAAAGCAGGCUCGCGCUUGAAUACAUUAGCAAUGGAAUAAUGAAAUAGGACGUUGAUCCUAUUUUGUUGGUUUCUAGGAUUGACGGUUAAUGGAUUAAUAGGGAUAGUUGGGGGGCAGUUAGUAUUCAAUUGUCAGAGGUGAAAUUCUUGGAUUUAUUGAAGACUAACUACUGACGAAAGCAUUUGCCAAGGAUGUUUUCAAUUAAUCAAGAACGAAAGUUAGGGGAUCGGAAGACGAUCCGAAGAUACCG